This 773-nucleotide ribosomal RNA is filed under the name uncultured bacterium. RNAcentral's name for it is "bacterial SSU rRNA". It matches the Rfam family "Bacterial small subunit ribosomal RNA", at positions 8 to 796 of the family's 1533-position model. The record is from RNAcentral.
AGAGUUUGAUCAUGGCUCAGGAUGAACGCUGGCGGCGUACCUAACGCAUGCAAGUCGAACGGGGAUGUGCGUAGCAAUACAAGCAUUCUAGUGGCAAACGGGUGAGUAACACGUAGGGAUCUAUCUUGAGGUGGGGAACAACGGACCGAAAGGUUCGCUAAUACCGCAUGUGCUCGUGAGAGCAAAGGGGGAAUUCUAACGAAUUCUUCGCCUUGAGCGGAGCCUGCGUUCGAUCAGGUAGUUGGUGAGGUAACGGCUCACCAAGCCGAUGACCGAUAGCUGUUCUGAGAGGAAGAUCAGCCACACUGGGACUGUGACACGGCCCAGACUCCUACGGGAGGCAGCAGCGAGGAAUAUUGCACAAUGGACGCAAGUCUGAUGCAGUAACGCCGCGUGGGGGAAGAAGACCUUCGGGUUGUAAACCUCUUUUAUGGAGGACGAGUGAGGACGGUACUCUAGGAAUAAGUCUCGGCUAACUACGUGCCAGCAGCCGCGGUAAGACGUAGGAGGCGAGCGUUAUCCGGAUUCACUGGGCGUAAAGCGCAUGUAGGCGGUUUGUUAAGUCCGCUGUUAAAGCCCCUGGCUCAACUGGGGGGAGGUCAGUGGAGACUAGCAGACUUGAGGGCAACAGAGGCACGUGGAACUCCCGGUGUAGCGGUGGAAUGCGUAGAGAUCGGGAAGAACACCAGUGGCGAAGGCGACGUGCUGGGUUGCGACUGACGCUGAGAUGCGAAAGUGUGGGGAGCAAACGGGAUUAGAUACCCCAGUAGUCC